GACGAACGCUGGCGGCGUGCUUAACACAUGCAAGUCGAACGGAAAGGCCCUGCUUUUGUGGGGUGCUCGAGUGGCGAACGGGUGAGUAACACGUGAGUAACCUGCCCUUGACUUUGGGAUAACUUCAGGAAACUGGGGCUAAUACCGGAUAGGAGCUCCUGCUGCAUGGUGGGGGUUGGAAAGUUUCGGCGGUUGGGGAUGGACUCGCGGCUUAUCAGCUUGUUGGUGGGGUAGUGGCUUACCAAGGCUUUGACGGGUAGCCGGCCUGAGAGGGUGACCGGCCACAUUGGGACUGAGAUACGGCCCAGACUCCUACGGGAGGCAGCAGUGGGGAAUAUUGCACAAUGGGCGGAAGCCUGAUGCAGCAACGCCGCGUGCGGGAUGACGGCCUUCGGGUGGGAAACCGCUUUCGCCUGUGACGAAGCGUGAGUGACGGUAAUGGGUAAAGAAGCACCGGCGAACUACGU
Molecule: ribosomal RNA, 467 nt
Filed under: uncultured bacterium
Lineage: Bacteria
Description: partial 16S ribosomal RNA
Rfam family: Bacterial small subunit ribosomal RNA
Source: RNAcentral